GAUGAACGCUGGCGGCGUGCCUAAUACAUGCAAGUCGAGCGAACAGACGAGGAGCUUGCUUCCCUUACGUUAGCGGCGGACGGGUGAGUAACACGUGGAUAACCUACCUAUAAGACUGGGAUAACUUCGGGAAACCGGAGCUAAUACCGGAAAAUAUAUUGAACCGCAUGGUUCAAUAGUUAAAGACGGCUUUGCUGUCACUUAUAGAUGGAUCCGUGCCGCAUUAGCUAGUUGGUAAGGUAACGGCUUACCAAGGCGACGAUGCGUAGCCGACCUGAGAGGGUGAUCGGCCACACUGGAACUGAGACACGGUCCAGACUCCUACGGGAGGCAGCAGUAGGGAAUCUUCCGCAAUGGGCGAAAGCCUGACGGAGCAACGCCGCGUGAGUGAUGAAGGUCUUCGGAUCGUAAAACUCUGUUAUUAGGGAAGAACAAAUGUGUAAGUAACUAUGCACGUCUUGACGGUACCUAAUCAGAAAGCCACGGCUAACUACGUG
RNAcentral lists this ribosomal RNA (497 nucleotides) under uncultured bacterium. Its description in RNAcentral is "partial 16S ribosomal RNA". It matches the Rfam family "Bacterial small subunit ribosomal RNA", at positions 28 to 507 of the family's 1533-position model. The record is from RNAcentral.